UUGCCCAAUGAUUAUAGCAAGACGCGUUAUUAUGAGGACUAAUGCUGGAACUCUUCCUCCUUCUCCUCCUCCUUCUUUGUCCCUUCCACUUUGACCUUACCCCCCCUCACUUUCCUCAGGGUAUCCAGCGUCCUAUGAGCAAGACUGAGAUAUGAGGGCAA
Columba livia (rock pigeon) is the source of this 161-nucleotide small nucleolar RNA. RefSeq annotates it as small nucleolar RNA SNORD97. NCBI's taxonomy places the organism in Eukaryota, Metazoa, Chordata, Aves, Columbiformes, Columbidae. The record is from RefSeq and is a predicted model, not a curated record. The transcript has a single exon.